This 90-nucleotide transfer RNA is filed under the name Candidatus Phelpsiimicrobium noxiivivens. RNAcentral describes it as "Candidatus Omnitrophica bacterium CG1_02_44_16 tRNA-Ser". It matches the Rfam family "tRNA". Rfam says of the family: Transfer RNA (tRNA) molecules are approximately 80 nucleotides in length. The record is from RNAcentral. Lineage: Bacteria; Pseudomonadati; Candidatus Omnitrophota. RNAcentral also lists the same sequence under 3 other names.
GGAGAGUUGGCCGAGUGGUUGAAGGCGCGCGCCUCGAAAGCGCGUUACUCCGCAAGGGGUACGAAGGUUCAAAUCCUUCACUCUCCGCCA